ACCUCAGCCAUGCAUGCCGCAGCUCCGAUCAGCCUCCUGUGGGCCUGCAGCCUGGCUUUUGUGCCCUUCUUUGCAGUCUCCUGGGAGAUUAAAAUGAGUGACCUUGAGGAGAAGGAUGUUGAUGAAUUCAGCUCCAGUGGUUUUCAAUGCCCAACAUGCUUUGCAGUGCAGAGAAGAAGAUGUGACACAGCACUCAAAUGGUGUGCAGCAGAUAAAAUAAAGUGUGUUGAAUUCUC
This is a long non-coding RNA of Galeopterus variegatus (Sunda flying lemur), 236 nucleotides long. RefSeq lists it as uncharacterized. The transcript is spliced from 2 exons. NCBI's taxonomy places the organism in Eukaryota, Metazoa, Chordata, Mammalia, Dermoptera, Cynocephalidae. The record is from RefSeq and is a predicted model, not a curated record.